AUGGGGAUAGCUCAAUUGGGAGAGUAUCAGACUAAAGAUUUGAAGGUUGCGUGUUUGAUCCAUGCUCAUCGUA
This 73-nucleotide transfer RNA is filed under the name Zingiber officinale. It matches the Rfam family "tRNA". From Rfam's summary of the family: Transfer RNA (tRNA) molecules are approximately 80 nucleotides in length. Their secondary structure includes four short double-helical elements and three loops (D, anti-codon, and T loops). Lineage: Eukaryota; Viridiplantae; Streptophyta; Magnoliopsida; Zingiberales; Zingiberaceae. The record is from Rfam by way of RNAcentral.